Molecule: long non-coding RNA, 797 nt
Filed under: Homo sapiens (human)
Lineage: Eukaryota; Metazoa; Chordata; Mammalia; Primates; Hominidae
Description: non-protein coding lnc-RPL5-4:1
Source: RNAcentral
AAAUUUCUGUUCUUUAGUGGCACGAGAGAGAUGGCACAGUUGAACACUGGGCAGCACUGCCAGAUUUUCUUUCAUUUGUGUGUGAUACUCAGGAAUAUUUUGCCUUGAAUACAAAAGCUGGCGGCAGUCUCAUGGUUGUCCUGAGAUGACUGUAAUCAAUGAGAGACUGAAGACAUAAACAUAAAUUUUACCCAUGCUCAUUCAAGGACCGUGUUGAAAAACUUGUGGCAGUUAUACGUCCUUACUGUGAGAAUAAUUUUUGCCUGAGACACCAUCAUCAGUCAGAUCACAAGUGUGAAAAACUGGAAAUCCCAAAGCCUUACAUGACUGCCACUCAGUAACUUGUUAAAGACAUUGAUUCCAAAACAGGAGAGACAGCAAGCAAAGAAGGGAAAGGUGACAAAAAAUAGUGAAACAGCUGCAAAGGAAUUGCAUUGAAAUUGAGGAUAUAUGCUGAUGGAGAUAUAUCACUGCCACAGGGAGAAACUAUUUGCUUUCAAGUUUUCUUACCUAAGGGGAGCAAAGAGAAGGGCAAACCAAUGUUCUUUUCCAUGGAUGAAGCAUCAGAAAGGUCACAAACUUUGCCACUUCUCUGGCCAGUCUUAAAGCUUUGACAAAAUUAACAGCUAAGAAAUUAAGGUUGUGUCACAUUACUUCAGGAGAAGCCUUAUCCUUAGAACUUACUUUGGAAACCUGGAUUGCUAAAUUGGAUUGUCCUUUAUAAAAUGGUGGAAAUAAAAUCUUGGAGUAUCUUAAUGAUGAAUGAUAAUUUUGUAAAAAUGUUGAAUCUUACUUGG